Molecule: ribosomal RNA, 171 nt
Filed under: uncultured bacterium
Lineage: Bacteria
Description: partial 16S ribosomal RNA
Rfam family: Bacterial small subunit ribosomal RNA
Source: RNAcentral
UCCUACGGGAGGCAGCAGUAACGAAUCUUCCGCAAUGCGCGAAAGCGUGACGGAGCAAUGCCGCGUGCAGGAUGAAGCCCCUCGGGGUGUAAACUGCUGUCAGGGAUUAGGAACACAAUGACCAGUCCCAAAGGAAGAGACGACUAACUCUGUGCCAGCAGCCGCGGUAAU